UCUUCCACUUUCUCCCCAUUGCAAUAUACCUCCCCACCAUAAUGCCAUGGCACGGCAUCAUCUUUGUCAUAUGGAAUUGGUCCAGGUACCGUGAUGGUAACUGGAGCCGCCUCAGCUAGAUUUGACAAAUCCACCGGAUCAAAAUAAAUUGUUAUGGUGGAGACCUCUUCUUUUCCCAUAUCAGCCCUCUCAAUCAGAAUACUUCCAUUGUCCAUCAGUCCCUGGACAGUCUCUCUCAACAAUUCACAUCCAUUGACAGAAAUAGUGCACACAGCACAAUCAACACCGCAGCCCGGAUGAACCCCAUUCAACAUCAACUGCCUCUUAACCUCAGUCAGAGGAGUCUUCAACUGAUCAACCCUCAACAACCCGAU
Molecule: long non-coding RNA, 374 nt
Filed under: Lathyrus oleraceus (garden pea)
Lineage: Eukaryota; Viridiplantae; Streptophyta; Magnoliopsida; Fabales; Fabaceae
Description: Pisum sativum (pea) long non-coding RNA (PSAT_LNC007633)
Source: RNAcentral